This 254-nucleotide ribosomal RNA is filed under the name uncultured bacterium. RNAcentral describes it as "partial 16S ribosomal RNA". It matches the Rfam family "Bacterial small subunit ribosomal RNA", at positions 524 to 776 of the family's 1533-position model. The record is from RNAcentral.
UACGUAGGGGGCAAGCGUUGUCCGGAUUUAUUGGGCGUAAAGAGCGUGUAGGCGGCUAGGUAGGUCCGUUGUGAAAACUCGAGGCUCAACCUCGAGACGUCGAUGGAAACCAUCUAGCUAGAGUCCGGAAGAGGAGAGUGGAAUUCCUGGUGUAGCGGUGAAAUGCGCAGAUAUCAGGAAGAACACCCGUGGCGAAGGCGACUCUCUGGUACGUGACUGACGCUGAGACGCGAAAGCGUGGGGGAGCAAACAGG